AGCUGGUUACUUGACUUUCACUUGUAAAAUGAAAGCACCAUGAAUGAUGGGAAGAUGAAAGGCUGUAUCAGGGUCUGUGCCAGGCUGCUCCUCUGAUCAGAGACAAGAAACGAGGCUAUUUCUUGAGAGUUGUGGAGUGAUUGAAGAGUGGGGAUGGAGAAAGUGGGGAGGAAGCUACCACUUGGCAUUAAGAGCUCUGAAUAGAGAAAUAACAGUGUAACUGAAAGGGCCUGUGAUAUCUAUUGUACUACUGGAAACUGCCUCAUCCCCCACGGCCGCCUGCCUGCAGAGCGCUGCUGCCUGGAAAGCAGCACACGGCAAUGGGCCCUACAAAACCCUGCUGGGAGGUGCCAUUCCUGGGGAGAUACACCCACCCUGGCUGAAAUCCUGGUGUUUUCCUCCUGGCUGGGAGGGUGAAGGGCAGCUCUGCAAAUUCCCUCUCUGGGAAGGGGAGGUUUGGGUGGCNCCCCACAGCAGCACAGCCCUAGCACAGGGAUUUAAUGACUUUGACCUACAUGAGGUGGAGCUGAUGCCUUGGAGUGGCUGCCUAGAACAGAGGCUACGCAAGAUUAAAAGAGCAAGAGUAGGUAUUUAAUAAAGGCCUUCAAUAGGUACCUUGGGCAGUCAGAAACCUCUGAGGCUACACCCAAGAUGGACAAUGGUCACCAGUUUUUCAGGCAAUUGUAAAUUCAAUCCAUUUAUGUGAAAAAUGCAUGUAUUUUAUGACUGGCUUUUCGCAAAUAUGAAAAUGAAUAUUAUAUGUGUUGUGUUAGAAAGCAAUGCUGUAAUAAUUUUCUUAAGUACUGUGUUAAAUAUAGUUUUAGGUUAUAAAAAUUGUUAAAAUAGAAACUAUGCUAUAUAAGAUGCUUUGUUUAACAGAAAGGGCUUGCAGCGAGAUAGCAGCCACAGCACACCUAGAUCUUUCAGAGAAAAAGAAUUUAUUGCCUUCUUAUCGGAAGAAACGAACUUCUUCCCGCCUCGAAGAUGCUAUUAGGAUUAGAGGGAAGAAGUUGAUGAAGACCAGAGAGAAUCCUGUGUUUGAAUGGAAUUUAUGGGAAUUUAUGCAUCAUGUAUGAGAUGUAUGAAUAUGCAACAGGCUGUUGUUUUUAAGGGUUAAUCCCCUGAUAACAGGUGUCCUUUUUCAGGCUCAUGAUGCCCAGAAAAAGGUACUCGGACAUCCNCUUUGGCAAAGAAACACAUCUUGAUCUGGUCACAGAAAGCAGCCCUGCCUUCUGUCAGCAAUAAAACAGAGAGGACUCUUCCA
This 1264-nucleotide long non-coding RNA is filed under the name Zonotrichia albicollis (white-throated sparrow). RNAcentral's name for it is "lncRNA (ENSZALG00000004357.1)". The record is from RNAcentral. Lineage: Eukaryota; Metazoa; Chordata; Aves; Passeriformes; Passerellidae.